RNAcentral lists this ribosomal RNA (499 nucleotides) under uncultured bacterium. RNAcentral describes it as "partial 16S ribosomal RNA". It matches the Rfam family "Bacterial small subunit ribosomal RNA", at positions 30 to 523 of the family's 1533-position model. The record is from RNAcentral.
AUUGAACGCUGGCGGAAUGCUUUACACAUGCAAGUCGAACGGCAGCACGGACUUCGGUCUGGUGGCGAGUGGCGAACGGGUGAGUAAUGUAUCGGAACGUGCCAGUCGUGGGGGAUAACGUAGUGAAAAUUACGCUAAUACCGCAUACGAUCUAUGGAUGAAAGCGGGGGAUCGCAAGACCUCGCGCGAUUGGAGCGGCCGAUAUCAGAUUAGGUAGUUGGUGGGGUAAAGGCCCACCAAGCCAACGAUCUGUAGCUGGUCUGAGAGGACGAGCAGCCACACUGGAACUGAGACACGGUCCAGACUCCUACGGGAGGCAGCAGUGGGAAAUUUUGGACAAUGGGCGAAAGCCUGAUCCAGCCAUUCCGCGUGCAGGAUGAAGGCCCUCGGGUUGUAAACUGCUUUUGUACAGAACGAAAAGGUUUCUACUAAUACUAGGAGCUCAUGACGGUACUGUAAGAAUAAGCACCGGCUAACUACGUGCCAGCCGCCGCCGUAA